Molecule: long non-coding RNA, 187 nt
Organism: Entelurus aequoreus (snake pipefish)
Lineage: Eukaryota; Metazoa; Chordata; Actinopteri; Syngnathiformes; Syngnathidae
Exons: 3
Source: RefSeq, a predicted model, not a curated record
CGACCCCUAAUGCGGCGUGACCCCAUGCAGAGAAGCCUGCUAUCGUUACUUCUGUGAGAGUUCAAGUUACAGGAGCCACCAGGGCACCACUGGAGACUUGGUUGCUGAACCCCCGUUCUAAGGUUUAUUUAGGACUUCGCAAAGAGGCAACAUCCACCGCCCCAGUCUGGUGGUGUCCCAUAGAGCA